GCGGUAAUUCCAGCUCCAAUAGCGUAUAUGUAAAUUGCUGCGGUUGAAACGCUCGUAGUUGGACUUCUGCUUAUGGAAUUCUGUCCGUUUCGACGAGUACGGAAUUCUAUGAGUGUUUUUGUCGACGGGUUUCAUCGGGCUUAACUGCUUGUUGAUUUUCUGUCGGCGUUGUUACUUUGAGGAAAUCAGAGUGCUCAAAGCAAGCAUUCGCUCGUGACUUCACUAGCAUGGAAUAACACAGAUGGGCUCUGUCUCGCAACGUUGGUCUGCGUCAAUUGAGCAACGAUCGAUAGAGACGGUCGGGGGCAUUCGUAUUGCGCAGUUAGAGGUGAAAUUCUCCGAUCUGCGUAAGACGCACUAGUGCGAAAGCAAUUGCCAAGGACGUUCUCUUAUGAUCAAGAGCGAAAGUCGGGGGAUCAAAGAUGAUUAGAUACCGUCGUAGUCCCGACCAUAAAUGAUGCCGACUGAGCGUCGGUGACUCGGCUUAUGCCGGACAUCGGCGCUCUUGAGAGAAAUUAAAGUCUUUGGGCUCCGGGGGUAGUAUGGUCGCAAGUCUGAAACUUGAAGGAAUUGACGGAAGGGCACCACAAGGCGUGGAUGUUGCGGCUUAAUUUGACUCAACACGGGAAAGCUUACUAGGUUUGGACACUUGAAUGAGGGACAUAUUGAAGCUCUUACCUUAUCUUGUGGAUGGUGGUGCAUGGUCGUUCUCAGCCCGUGGGUUGACCUGUCAGGUUUACUCCGGUAACGCGCGAGACCUCGGUUUGCUAAAUAGACGUGGCUGUUUCUGCACCCACGUUCUUCUUAGAGAGAGACUCAUCGAGAGAUGAGGGAAGUCGAGGCAAUAACAGAUCUGUGAUGCCCUUAGUUAUCCUAGGUCGCACGCGCCAUACAAUGUGGUGCACAACGAGUUUCCUUGGCCGAUAGGACAGGGCAAUCUGUGAGAGCGCUACGUGACUGGGCUAGACUUUUGUAAUUGUUGGUCUUGAACGAGGAAUGCCUAGUAAUCGCAGGUCAUUAUCCUGUGAUGAUUAUGUCCCUGCCCUUUGUACACACCGCCCGUCGCUCCUGCCGUGGCCCGUGCCGGUGAAGAGGGGGAGGCAGCGUCGACAGGGUAAAACCGGCUCGUACGUGGAACCCCUCUGAACCUUCGCGAGUAGAGGAAGGAGAAGUCGUAACAAGGUUUUCGUAGGUGAACCUGCGAAAGGAUCAUUA
This 1215-nucleotide ribosomal RNA is filed under the name Caulerpa cliftonii. RNAcentral's name for it is "SSU rRNA". It matches the Rfam family "Eukaryotic small subunit ribosomal RNA", at positions 576 to 1831 of the family's 1831-position model. Lineage: Eukaryota; Viridiplantae; Chlorophyta; Ulvophyceae; Bryopsidales; Caulerpaceae. The record is from RNAcentral.